GUCUCCUACGGGACGCAGCAGUGAGGAAUAUUGGUCAAUGGACGCAAGUCUGAACCAGCCAAGUAGCGUGCAGGAUGACGGCCCUCCGGGUUGUAAACUGCUUUUAGUUGGGAAUAAAAGGGGGCUCGUGAGCCCCGUAUUGUAUGUACCAUCAGAAAAAGGACCGGCUAAUUCCGUGCCAGCAGCCGCGGUAAUACGGAAGGUCCGGGCGUUAUCCGGAUUUAUUGGGUUUAAAGGGAGCGUAGGCCGGCUUUUAAGUCAGCUGUGAAAGUCCGCGGCUCAACCGCAAAAUUGCAAUUGAUACU
Molecule: ribosomal RNA, 305 nt
Filed under: uncultured bacterium
Lineage: Bacteria
Description: bacterial SSU rRNA
Rfam family: Bacterial small subunit ribosomal RNA
Source: RNAcentral